GCAGAAGUGGUGGAAUGGCAGACACGCUGGUUUUAGGCACCAGUUCCCAGUGAGUGAGGGUUCAAGUCCCUUCUUCUGCACCA
This 83-nucleotide transfer RNA is filed under the name Faecalibacterium prausnitzii. Its description in RNAcentral is "tRNA-Leu". It matches the Rfam family "tRNA". From Rfam's summary of the family: Transfer RNA (tRNA) molecules are approximately 80 nucleotides in length. Their secondary structure includes four short double-helical elements and three loops (D, anti-codon, and T loops). RNAcentral also lists the same sequence under 1 other name. Lineage: Bacteria; Bacillati; Bacillota; Clostridia; Eubacteriales; Oscillospiraceae. The record is from RNAcentral.